GCCUAUAUAGCCUCGCUGGUCAUAGAUCCAACCAUGCAUUGUGCGAGGUGAAAGAGUACUGCAAGAAACAAAGAAGGAUUCAGCCACAGUCGGAUACAUUCCACUUCCUGUGGAGUCAUCCAGUGCACUGUUCAAGGCUUCAGUUCCAAAGGAGUCAUCGGUUGGGAAAUGAGAUAGCAUAGACAGGAGAUUUGUGACAGACCAAGGCAUGAAACCCAUCAGUUGACGAGUGGAAAUCCCUCCUUUCUAAUUAAUAGAGGUACACAGGCCAGAGGGAUAAGGAGGAUCAGGGAAAUGAAAUCAGCAAAAAGAUACCAUCACUCAUUUCUGAGGUCUAUUGUCACACUUCAGAAUCUGCUGUAAUGAAUCACUCAAGCAUUCCACAGAUAUAUUUGAAUGCCUUGUCUGCCCUGCUUUUGUCAAAGUGCCCUCUGAUCAAAAAGCAAAAUCAAGGCUGUGGCAACAGGUGCACAUUCUGAAAGGCUGGCACUCUUCAAGUGUACUGGAAAGCUAUCUUGGAUGACAAGAAUGAGCCAAUAAGUUUCAAGGGACCUGUUCCACGGGGUCUUUUGAGAAAGUUGGUGUGGACUAACAUGCUGUACAAUUUAUUACAAGCAACAAAUCUCUAUUGAUAGAAUAAUUUUCCUUACUUUAACACUAUACUUUGCCAUGCUGACCCUACUGUGACUAGUUUUAACUUCUCUAACUAUUAACAGACCAGUGAGCAGACUGGCAAAAUAUGACCUCGCCAUAUGAUUUUCUUGUGUUUCCUCACUUCAGAAUUAUGCAAUCGUGGUAAUUUACCAGUAAUGUGACAUUAGUAGAAUUUGACAUAAUUCUUAUUGGUAAGUUACUUAAAUAUUUUUAAAAAAUACAAUAAAUGCAUUUUUACACAAAGAAAAUUAUGUAUAGUGUCACAAAAAAGAAAAGUGGAACUGGAAUUUAUCAGAGAAUGUCGAUGUGCAAUAUAUCCAUGAACUGCGGAAAAGAUUGAGCAGUUCUAACAUAUUUUCAAUUCUCUGUACGUGAUGUCGAUGUUCAUGCAUUAAUUUUCUAGCAUAUUUAUUCUUUUCAGGGUCACUGGAAGCUGGAGCUUAUCCCAUCUACCUUUGGUUGUAUUAUCCUAUACCCUGGAAUUAUCACUCAUCAAUCAGAAGUGAAGCAUUUCAACCUCUAAAAUACCAAAGGCUUGUUCUAGUUAUAUUUUCAAAAUAAAACAAAUUGGAAUAUCAUUUCUUUUUUGUAAAAUGUAUUUUUGUGAAGAGCCCACUCAAACCUGGCCACUACACAAGUGUGUAUACAUGUCAAGACUUCAAAUGCAAACACCAACAAGCACCCUUUAGUCAUUUAGGAUAUGGAUUGGUCAGUUGGAGCAGAAUCUUCUGUGGCAACAAGUCCGAUGUAAGUGAGAAACAACAUAUAGAAGUGUAAAUUUUUACACAUCUAUCCAUUAUAUAAGCUGCUUUUCCUCAUGAGGGUCGCAGGAGUGCUGGAGCUACUGUAUCACCAGGCACCCUGAACUGGUUGCCACUCAAUCGCAGGGCACACGGAGACAAACAGAUGGAGCACCUGCAAUUUAUAGAAAUAUGCUCAUAACCACAGAAAAAAUAGGAUGCUACAUUAGGGAUGGAAUCUCAAGACCUUAAAAUAACUGUAAUAAACUGUAAAUAACCCGAGUAUGUAGUUGUUACCUAACACCAUAAUCUUAAUUUAUUGAAUCUGCACAGACAGAGACAGAAAUUUUUAAAGAGGUCAAAAGACAUUUGAAUUCUAAACUAUAUAUUCAUAUAAUCAAAUCAUUUUAUUUAGUCAUGGUGUAUUGCUAUAAUCUAGUGUUUAUUUUUUAUGCACAGUGGCACAUCUUAGAGGGAACAUUGGUCAAGACUACACAUAAUAAACGACGUCUUUCAAUAGCUAUGUAUUUCUACUCGUAACAAAUUUUACGCGCGUGAUUUUUCGAGCUCGACUGUACAGAUUUGUGAUUGCGAUGCCGCGCGGGCACAUAAGUGCCCGUCAAAUCACAGUGACUGCUUUACUCAUUGAUUUGAUUUAUUUUGACAUGUUGUGUUUGUGUGUGUGUCAGUGUUACAUCAAGAUGUGGGCCAGAGGUGUGUGGAUUGAAGGAAAGGUGGAAGAAAAGGGAGUUGUGCUAUUGUGUUGGAUUGAUGCAUCAGAAGAUAUCUUGUACUGGCCAAAGUUAAAUGAGCGAACUGCUCUGAAGAAGAAACAGAAGUCUGUAAAGGGCUACAAAUGGUGGGAGUUAAAACUCCUUAAAAUGAAGUUCACAUCAGUGAUCUAUGAUGAAUGUGACGACUACGAUAUAACUACUGUGGAGGGUGAAGAUGUAUCUGAAGCGGAAGAUCAAAAAGAGAACCUUUAAAGAUUGUACAACAGCACCAAAAACCUCCUAAGUGGAAGAUUCACAAAGUGAUGCUUAUCCUGUAAUUGCCCUGCAAGACCAUCAAAGCAGUGGAUCAGAUGGUUCACUGUCACCAUGAAGAACCCUGAGACAUUCAAAACAAAGCCAUCUCCCAUCAACCUCAAGCCAUCCACCACCAACCACGAGCCUCUCCCAUUCUUCUAAGAGAGUUGGCCCACGUCAGAAGAAAGGUUUCAGAAAAUGCUGAAUUUCUGCUGCUUACAGAGAUAAGGGACACCGCCAGGCAUCAAGACCAUAGGCCAGCACAAGAAGAGGACAUGGACAUUGUCUAGAUAAAAUCUUUGGCCGACUUCAUUGUCCUUGAACAGAAGGUGAUUGAAGACCCUUUUACUUCUGCAAAACUGAAAUCCCAAAUCUUGAAAGGUGUAGGGGUAACCCUCAAAGAAUAUAUCAAACUGAUCCUGAAGAGAUGCAGUGGCAGGAAACAGGACAGGAGGAACUCAGAUGGACAGUAAAUAUGAGAGACACAUAGUCAAAGUUCAAAUAGUGGAACAUUACACUUUAUUUUCUUUUGUUUGUAACAUACUUUAAGAAAAAAGUAAUUUUUUCAAUUUUUUUUGAAAAAAGUUAUUUGUUCUAAAUGUUAA
Long non-coding RNA from Syngnathoides biaculeatus (alligator pipefish), 3027 nucleotides. RefSeq lists it as uncharacterized. Lineage: Eukaryota; Metazoa; Chordata; Actinopteri; Syngnathiformes; Syngnathidae. The transcript is spliced from 10 exons. The record is from RefSeq and is a predicted model, not a curated record.